GUGCUUACUUCAGCAGUACAUAUACUAAAAUUGGAAUGAUACAGAGAAGAUUAGGAUGACCCCUGAACAAGGAUGACAUGCAAAUUUGUGAAGCAUUCCAUAUUAAA
RNAcentral lists this small nuclear RNA (107 nucleotides) under Myotis davidii. The record is from RNAcentral. Lineage: Eukaryota; Metazoa; Chordata; Mammalia; Chiroptera; Vespertilionidae.